Long non-coding RNA from Chelonia mydas (Green sea turtle), 465 nucleotides. RefSeq lists it as uncharacterized. The transcript is spliced from 3 exons. Lineage: Eukaryota; Metazoa; Chordata; Testudines; Cheloniidae. The record is from RefSeq and is a predicted model, not a curated record.
UCUGCUUUCUUAUUUUGUCUGGGAGCCAGUUCAUGUCAGCGGAGCUUUCAUGCUAGAGCCAUUCCAAGUUGUAUGAAAUAGACCGGCAUUACACAUGGAAAAUGGAUAACUACAUGAAUCCUGGAAGAUCUGACUGUUCCUAUUACACUUGAUCAAAUACAACUGUCUGCUGCUUUGGCAGAGAUCACCUCUGAUGAUUACAAGGAAAGGACUACAUUACAGACUGAGCUGAUGGAUGUCAGCUGAAGUGUAUGAGAACACAUGGGGACACAUCUUGGGCCUGAUUCCCCCCUGCCUCCGCUCCCACCAUUGACUUCAGCUGCCAUGACCAUGGACAGCAGCCAGACAGCCACAGCCCACCAUAACUAUGAAGGAUUUACACAACACACUGUAAUUGCAGGCAUUACAGCAUGUGGGGUCAAAACACGCUUGUAAAAAUGUGCCCUAUGGAGUUCUCCAAACCCA